UGUGCUCUUCUGACCCAGUUGCCUGCUGCCAGGGGACCUGGCUGAGUGUGGCAGAAGUGCUCGCCAACCCAAAGUGGCAUGUGCCUAGUGGGAAGUCCAGGCUCUACAAA
RNAcentral lists this long non-coding RNA (110 nucleotides) under Microtus ochrogaster (prairie vole). RNAcentral's name for it is "TTC28 antisense RNA 1 conserved region 4 (ENSMOCG00000006867.1)". It matches the Rfam family "TTC28 antisense RNA 1 conserved region 4". The record is from RNAcentral. Lineage: Eukaryota; Metazoa; Chordata; Mammalia; Rodentia; Cricetidae.